RNAcentral lists this ribosomal RNA (253 nucleotides) under uncultured bacterium. RNAcentral's name for it is "partial 16S ribosomal RNA". It matches the Rfam family "Bacterial small subunit ribosomal RNA", at positions 524 to 776 of the family's 1533-position model. The record is from RNAcentral.
UACGGGGGGGGCAAGCGUUGUUCGGAAUUACUGGGCGUAAAGGGCUCGUAGGUGGCCAACUAAGUCAGACGUGAAAUCCCUCGGCUUAACCGGGGAACUGCGUCUGAUACUGGAUGGCUUGAGUUUGGGAGAGGGACGCGGAAUUCCUGGUGUAGCGGUGGAAUGCGCAGAUAUCAGGAGGAACACCGGUGGCGAAGGCGGGUCUCUGGGCAGUAACUGACGCUGAGGAGCGAAAGCGUGGGGAGCGAACAGG